Long non-coding RNA from Suricata suricatta (meerkat), 402 nucleotides. RefSeq lists it as uncharacterized. The transcript is spliced from 3 exons. The record is from RefSeq and is a predicted model, not a curated record. NCBI's taxonomy places the organism in Eukaryota, Metazoa, Chordata, Mammalia, Carnivora, Herpestidae.
CAUUUGCGGUGGCCAAGACAGAGGGAAAAAGAGAGGACGGUGACCUUCUUAGGGAAUCAGACGCAUCUCUUAAGAAAGCGACCAUUUUUAUGAGGGAGGCAGCGGCUGCUGCUUCCCAGGGGCAGAACAGGAGCGUGGACCCAGAAAGGCAAGAAUGAGAUGAAUUAGAAGAUUCCAAAUGGCAAGGUCAGAAAGGAAAAGUCCAGAUGCGGCAAAGCAAUCCAGAGGACCUUGCAACCUGGGCUGGGAAAGGGAGCCUAGCAUCGCCCCGCACAGCCCGGCCCAGCCCAGCAUGGCUCCCCAUAGACCACAGACCAGCCUUCGUUUGCAGCAUGUCAGGGCUGUUGGGUCUGGAGAGGCUGAGUCUACCCCCCAUCUCUUCGUCACUCGCCUCCAUGUCCU